AGCAUAUUCUAGUUUAGUUUAGACCGCAGGUAUCGUGUCUAUUGCAAUUCGCGCACAAGAUCGUGUGUCAUCGACGCACCGGUUUUGCGCAUCUCUUGUUUUCUUAUCGUGAACUGUCGCGUCGUUGCCUGCUAUGGCAUACGCCAGCAUGCGCUCUCGAUGGGUUGCAGCCAGUUUCAUGCCUGUCGUUGGGUAGUCUAUACGUGUUUUGACCGGCUCGUAUUUUUUGUUGGGACUUCUGCUUUCCAAAUUUCCAUUAUAUUUGAUCAUCAAUCAAUUAUUCAAUUAUAACGACUAUAGACAUGUUAUUUAUUAUUUGCGCGUUUAAUGAACAUUAUUGUACAAAAGUGGUAGAUAUUUGAUCGCGUUUCGUGUGCACACUUAUGCAAAUAACCAAGUUCGGUGUCCCCUCGCUAAAUAAAUCGGAUGGCCCUUAUGUAGAUUUAUUCAUCAUUAACAUUACUAUUUGCCGUGCCUUGGAGUCCAUGAGUUCUGCAUUGUUCUUGAAAGCGACUUCAGAACCGGUUUAUAGGAAGGGCUUUUAAAUACCAUUUGUCGUGAGAAACAGUACCAAGGUGGGUACAUUGGGCCUAAGUUGUUUGUAUUGCUCCUUGCUCGUUGUUAUGCUAAUGCAAUUUUCUUUUCACCUCAUGUGGAUGUGGAAGCCGAUCAUUAAUCUGCACGGGCCAUGACGAGGAGCGUCUUUUGGUUUCCUCAGAACGCGGUAGAAUUUUCGCUCUUGUUUCAAACUAUUUAAUUUUUUACUGGGGCAUUCCAUAGAUCUGGGCGCAGCGUCAACAUCUUACAUUUUGCGAUACACAGAGACCAGAAGACUCGGAAAGAACAGAAGUGUGAAGCUAAUAAACAUCGUCAAACGUCGCUAUACUUUUUUCUACUUUCAAUAUAAUUGGACCAAAAAACAGCGCCAAAUUUGUGUUUCAAAUUGAAUUUGGACAAUAAAAUACAGCGCAAAACUAUUGUUAUAAAAUUAUAACGCCUGUUUAAAUCAACACAAGAAUUGUUUUCUCAUUUGUGUUUUGAACUUGACUGAGGUAAAUAGUUUAAAAAUAUUCUAAGCGAUAGUUUUUAUUUUGCCAAGCACUUGCUGCUUGCUUUUAAUGUAGUUACAAUUCACAUUGUAUUGCUGUAGCAAAAGGUAUCGUUAAGUAUGUUUGUCACAUAUGAAAUUACGUCCUUAAUUAAAAGAUUGUUUUUGAUUUAGGUA
This is a long non-coding RNA of Dalotia coriaria, 1225 nucleotides long. RefSeq lists it as uncharacterized. The transcript is spliced from 4 exons. NCBI's taxonomy places the organism in Eukaryota, Metazoa, Arthropoda, Insecta, Coleoptera, Staphylinidae. The record is from RefSeq and is a predicted model, not a curated record.